RNAcentral lists this small RNA (28 nucleotides) under Bombyx mori (domestic silkworm). RNAcentral describes it as "ovarian small RNA-24994". The record is from RNAcentral. Lineage: Eukaryota; Metazoa; Arthropoda; Insecta; Lepidoptera; Bombycidae.
UCACACAACGCCACAAACAUGUAACGAG